UGGCAAUUCACCUACUAAAGAUAUGGCUC
RNAcentral lists this non-coding RNA (29 nucleotides) under Mus musculus (house mouse). The record is from RNAcentral. Lineage: Eukaryota; Metazoa; Chordata; Mammalia; Rodentia; Muridae.